UUGGUUAAGUUAGAAAGGGCGCACGGUGGAUGCCUUGGCACUAGGAGCCGAAGAAGGACGGGACUAACACCGAUAUGCUUUGGGGAGCUGUACGUAAGCGUUGAUCCAGAGAUUUCCGAAUGGGGGAACCCACUAUCUUUAGUCGGAUAGUAUCCUUACGUGAAUACAUAGCGUGAGGAAGGCAGACCCAGGGAACUGAAACAUCUAAGUACCUGGAGGAAGAGAAAGAAAAAUCGAUUUCCUGAGUAGCGGCGAGCGAAACGGAAAGAGCCCAAACCAAGAAGCUUGCUUCUUGGGGUUGUAGGACACUCUAUACGGAGUUACAAAAGAAAGUUAUAAAUGAAGCGGUCUGGAAAGGCCCGCCAAAGACGGUAACAGCCCGGUAGUUGAAAUGGCUUUCCCUCCAGAGUGGAUCCUGAGUACGGCGGAACACGUGAAAUUCCGUCGGAAUCCGGGAGGACCAUCUCCCAAGGCUAAAUACUCCCUAGUGACCGAUAGUGAACCAGUACCGUGAGGGAAAGGUGAAAAGCACCCCGGAAGGGGAGUGAAACAGUUCCUGAAACCGUGUGCCUACAAGUAGUUAGAGCCCGUUAAUGGGUGAUAGCGUGCCUUUUGUAGAAUGAACCGGCGAGUUACGAUUUGUUGCAAGGUUAAGCGGAAAAAGCGGAGCCGUAGCGAAAGCGAGUCUGAAUAGGGCGCAUAAGUAACAGGUCGUAGACCCGAAACCAGGUGAUCUACCCAUGUCCAGGAUGAAGGUAAGGUAAUACUUACUGGAGGUCCGAACCCACGCACGUUGAAAAGUGCGGGGAUGAGGUGUGGGUAGCGGAGAAAUUCCAAUCGAACUUGGAGAUAGCUGGUUCUCUCCGAAAUAGCUUUAGGGCUAGCCUCGAGGUAAAGAGUCAUGGAGGUAGAGCACUGUUUGGACUAGGGGCCCUUCUCGGGUUACCGAAUUCAGAUAAACUCCGAAUGCCAUGUACUUAUACUCGGGAGUCAGACUGCGAGUGAUAAGAUCCGUAGUCGAAAGGGAAACAGCCCAGACCACCAGUUAAGGUCCCCAAAUAUAUGUUAAGUGGAAAAGGAUGUGGGGUUGCUUAGACAACCAGGAUGUUGGCUUAGAAGCAGCCACCAUUGAAAGAGUGCGUAAUAGCUCACUGGUCGAGUGACCCCGCGCCGAAAAUGUACCGGGGCUAAACAUAUUACCGAAACUGUGGAUGAACCUCUUUAGAGGUUCGUGGUAGGAGAGCGUUCUAAGGGCGGUGAAGUCAGACCGGAAGGACUGGUGGAGCGCUUAGAAGUGAGAAUGCCGGUAUGAGUAGCGAA
RNAcentral lists this ribosomal RNA (1320 nucleotides) under Listeria monocytogenes. RNAcentral describes it as "partial 23S ribosomal RNA". It matches the Rfam family "Bacterial large subunit ribosomal RNA", at positions 1 to 1313 of the family's 2925-position model. The record is from RNAcentral. Lineage: Bacteria; Bacillati; Bacillota; Bacilli; Caryophanales; Listeriaceae.